GAUGAACGCCGGCGGCGUGCUUAACACAUGCAAGUCGAGCGAGAAGUUUUGAAAAGAUUCUUCGGAUGAAAUUUAAAAUGGAAAGCGGCGGACGGGUGAGUAACGCGUAGGCAACCUGCCCCAUACAAAGGGAUAGCAUUUGGAAACGAAUAUUAAUACCUUAUGAAACUUAACUAGUGCAUGCUAGGUAGGUCAAAGAUUUAUCGGUAUGGGAUGGGCCUGCGUCUGAUUAGCUAGUUGGUGAGGUAACGGCUCACCAAGGCGACGAUCAGUAGCCGACCUGAGAGGGUGAACGGCCACAUUGGAACUGAGACACGGUCCAAACUCCUACGGGAGGCAGCAGCGGGGAAUAUUGCACAAUGGGGGAAACCCUGAUGCAGCAACGCCGCGUGAACGAUGAAGGCCUUUGGGUCGUAAAGUUCUGUUCUAGGUGAUGAAAACUGACAGUAACCUAGGAGAAAGCCCCGGCUAACUCCGUG
This 479-nucleotide ribosomal RNA is filed under the name uncultured bacterium. RNAcentral's name for it is "partial 16S ribosomal RNA". It matches the Rfam family "Bacterial small subunit ribosomal RNA", at positions 28 to 507 of the family's 1533-position model. The record is from RNAcentral.